GUUACUUUGGCAGAUUAGUGCAAUGGAUUUAGAAUCUUUUUAUGUAAAAGUUUUACAGGUAAUAAUUGUUUAUGUUUGAUUUUGUUUUA
RNAcentral lists this transfer RNA (89 nucleotides) under Hedyselmis opis. RNAcentral's name for it is "tRNA-Leu". Lineage: Eukaryota; Metazoa; Arthropoda; Insecta; Coleoptera; Elmidae. The record is from RNAcentral.